Molecule: long non-coding RNA, 394 nt
Filed under: Mytilus galloprovincialis (Mediterranean mussel)
Lineage: Eukaryota; Metazoa; Mollusca; Bivalvia; Mytilida; Mytilidae
Source: RNAcentral
CGAACACUUGUCUGAUUUUACACAUGAUAGCCAAGUUGAAAAUUUUCGUCACAUUUUUCUCAGGAACUACAAUACAAGGAUUUAUGAAAUUUGGUUUCAGGAUUUAUAUAAGUCAGCUAUACCGUGUGAUGCGUUUUCAGAUUCAUCACUCGACAACUUCCUGUUUACCGAACACUUGUAUGAUUUUACACAUGAUAACCAAGUUAAAAAUUUUCGUCACAUUUUUCUCAGGAACUACAAUACAAGGAUUUCUGAAAUUUGGUUUCAGGAUUUUUAUAAGUCAGCUUAUAGCCGUACCGUGUGAUGCGUUUUCAGAUUCAUCACUCGACAACUUCCUGUUUACCGAACACUUGCAUAUUUUUACACUAUUAAUAUUAUCCACUUGCGGCGGGGG